UACAGGGGGUGCAAACGUUGCUCGGAAUUAUUGGGCGUAAAGCGCGCGUAGGCGGCUUCUUAAGUCGGAUGUGAAAGCCCUCGGCUCAACCGGGGAAGUGCAUCCGAAACUGAGGAGCUAGAAUUCGAAAGAGGGUCGCGGAAUUCCCAGUGUAGAGGUGAAAUUCGUAGAUAUUGGGAGGAACACCGGUGGCGAAGGCGGCGACCUGGGUCGCAAUUGACGCUGAGGCGCGAAAGCGUGGGGAGCAAACAGG
Molecule: ribosomal RNA, 253 nt
Filed under: uncultured bacterium
Lineage: Bacteria
Description: partial 16S ribosomal RNA
Rfam family: Bacterial small subunit ribosomal RNA
Source: RNAcentral